UAGGGAAUCUUCGGCAAUGGGGGGAACCCUGACCGAGCAACGCCGCGUGAGUGAAGAAGGUUUUCGGAUCGUAAAGCCCUGUUGUUAAGGAAGAACGUGUGUGAGAGUGGAAAGUUCACACAGUGACGGUACUUAACCAGAAAGGGACGGCUAACUACGUGCCAGCAGCCGCGGUAAUACGUAGGUCCCGAGCGUUGUCCGGAUUUAUUGGGCGUAAAGCGAGCGCAGGCGGUUAGAUAAGUCUGAAGUGAAAGGCAGUGGCUCAACCAUUGUAGGCUUUGGAAACUGUUUAACUCGAGUGCAGAAGGGGAGAGUGGAAUUCCAUGUGUAGCGGUGAAAUGCGUAGAUAUAUGGAGGAACACCGGUGGCGAAAGCGGCUCUCUGGUCUGUAACUGACGCUGAGGCUCGAAAGCGUGGGGAGCGAACAGGAUUAGAUACCCUGGUAGUCCACGCCGUAAACGAUGAGUGCUAGGUGUUAGGUCCUUUCCGGGACUUAGUGCCGCAGCUAACGCAUUAAGCACUCCGCCUGGGGAGUACGACCGCAAGGUUG
RNAcentral lists this ribosomal RNA (550 nucleotides) under uncultured bacterium. RNAcentral's name for it is "bacterial SSU rRNA". It matches the Rfam family "Bacterial small subunit ribosomal RNA", at positions 355 to 896 of the family's 1533-position model. The record is from RNAcentral.